UGGGGGAUAGUUUAGUGGUAGAACUCUCGACUCUGACUCGAGCAGCCAAGGUUCGAAUCCUUGUCCCCCAGCCA
Molecule: transfer RNA, 74 nt
Filed under: Alphaproteobacteria bacterium GWA1_45_9
Lineage: Bacteria; Pseudomonadati; Pseudomonadota; Alphaproteobacteria
Also listed under: 4 other names
Description: tRNA-Gln
Rfam family: tRNA
About the family: Transfer RNA (tRNA) molecules are approximately 80 nucleotides in length. Their secondary structure includes four short double-helical elements and three loops (D, anti-codon, and T loops).
Source: RNAcentral